RNAcentral lists this long non-coding RNA (215 nucleotides) under Elaeis guineensis (African oil palm). RNAcentral's name for it is "long non-coding RNA (EGUI_LNC007202)". The record is from RNAcentral. Lineage: Eukaryota; Viridiplantae; Streptophyta; Magnoliopsida; Arecales; Arecaceae.
CUCAUGGUUUGGUACGCGAGGUAUUGUCUGCUUUGGUUUGUGACCAUCUUUGAAAUUCAGUGGGCCUUGGUCAUUUAGAGCCUCACAAUUUUAUCCUUUAAAGGAUGCUUCAUGUGGGAAGAAUGGUCUCUUUCUAUAUAAGCUAGAUUUUUCUUUGACUUCAAUCAAUGUUGGAUUAAUGAUGUCCUUUCUUCUAUACCACAACAUAGUCCCCC